AUUGAACGCUGGCGGCAGGCCUAACACAUGCAAGUCGAACGGUAACAGGAAGCAGCUUGCUGCUUCGCUGACGAGUGGCGGACGGGUGAGUAAUGUCUGGGAAGCUGCCUGAUGGAGGGGGAUAACUACUGGAAACGGUAGCUAAUACCGCAUAAUGUCGCAAGACCAAGAGGGGGACCUUCGGGCCUCUUGCCAUCGGAUGUGCCCAGAUGGGAUUAGCUUGUUGGUGGGGUAACGGCUCACCAAGGCGACGAUCCCUAGCUGGUCUGAGAGGAUGACCAGCCACACUGGAACUGAGACACGGUCCAGACUCCUACGGGAGGCAGCAGUGGGGAAUAUUGCACAAUGGGCGCAAGCCUGAUGCAGCCAUGCCGCGUGUAUGAAGAAGGCCUUCGGGUUGUAAAGUACUUUCAGCGGGGAGGAAGGGAGUAAAGUUAAUACCUUUGCUCAUUGACGUUACCCGCAGAAGAAGCACCGGCUAACUCCGUG
This 489-nucleotide ribosomal RNA is filed under the name uncultured bacterium. Its description in RNAcentral is "partial 16S ribosomal RNA". It matches the Rfam family "Bacterial small subunit ribosomal RNA", at positions 30 to 507 of the family's 1533-position model. The record is from RNAcentral.